GGGCUACCCGAAGUGGUGAAGGGACUGGUUUGUGACACCAGUGUUCACGAGUAUUGCCUUUGGCAACGCUUCGCGAACAACUCUCGUCAGUCACCCCA
This 98-nucleotide transfer RNA is filed under the name Pantanalinema sp. GBBB05. Its description in RNAcentral is "tRNA-His". The record is from RNAcentral. Lineage: Bacteria; Bacillati; Cyanobacteriota; Cyanophyceae; Leptolyngbyales; Leptolyngbyaceae.